CUACGGAGGGUGCAAGCGUUACUCGGAAUCACUGGGCGUAAAGCGCGCGCAGGCGGUCUUUUAAGUUGGAUGUGAAAGCCUACGGCUCAACCGUAGAACUGCAUCCAAAACUAUUAGACUAGAGUGUGGGAGAGGAAGAUGGAAUUAGUUGUGUAGGGGUAAAAUCCGUAGAGAUAACUAGGAAUACCAAAAGCGAAGGCAAUCUUCUGGAACACUACUGACGCUGAGGCGCGAAGGCGUGGGGAGCAAACAGGAUUAGAUACCCUAGUAGUCC
This 274-nucleotide ribosomal RNA is filed under the name uncultured bacterium. RNAcentral describes it as "partial 16S ribosomal RNA". It matches the Rfam family "Bacterial small subunit ribosomal RNA", at positions 523 to 796 of the family's 1533-position model. The record is from RNAcentral.